This is a long non-coding RNA of Tupaia belangeri chinensis (Chinese tree shrew), 724 nucleotides long. RefSeq lists it as uncharacterized. The transcript is spliced from 4 exons. Lineage: Eukaryota; Metazoa; Chordata; Mammalia; Scandentia; Tupaiidae. The record is from RefSeq and is a predicted model, not a curated record.
GGCGAGAGCGGCAGUUGGGGCUGGGCAGGCAUGUCCUUCCCUCCAUCGAGGACCUGGUCAGUUACAUGAAGAGGAGGCCAUUACUAGGUGGCUGCAGGUACUGCUGGCUCCUCAUGGAUAUGGCUGAUGAGUGAGAACAACUUCCACUACAGGAUCCUGCCACUGAAAACCUGCAUACGUGCAGCCUGCUACCAUCUUGUUCCUGGGAAGGAUAUAGUUGUGUAUCUGCUGCAAACCAAGAGAGGGAGCCCAGUGACCAAGAACCUCCAGCUGCCCUCAUAUCCUCCUCUGCUUCUAUAGGACCCAUCAGGAUUUCUGGGCCUUGCUUCCUAGGGUCCUCAUCUUUUGGAGUCUGUCUUUUUCCCCACCAGCCGACCUGGGAUGACUGUCAGCAACUCCUCCAGACCUUAUUCACAUCACAGUAAAAGAGAACAAAUUGAGGUGGAAUCCUGGAAACUUGUCCUGGGUCCAGAUAUGGAGAUCAACACGAAUUAUGGUAAGGAGGCUCUCAGUCAGUAUUGCCAAACUCCACUGAGAGGGAUUAGAGUAGUGGCAUGGAAGCCCAGCAACCAAAGUCAAGGUGAGCAAAACCAUGCAGGGUCUGAGUGAGUCUCCCGCUGCCUUCCUAGAGAGACUCUUUGGGGCCUACCGAUGCUAUGCUCCCAUGGACCCAGAGUCCUCAGAGAAUAGGCAAGCAAUGAGCAUCGCGUUCGUGACCCAGUUG